AGUCAUUCCUAGGCUGCCUCAAAGACACAAGACAACAGCUGCACCUCCAGCAUUGCAUCUGCAUUCUCCACAGAGGACAGAAAAGGGCAAAGGUCACCCUGCUCCUCUCCUGUCCAUGGUGCUAGAGUCACUGGAGACCUGGCGGCUCUUCAGGUGGCAAAUUAGGCCAAGCGGCCACUGCGGUGCUGAGCGGUCCAUCCUCCGGGCGGUGCUGACCAGUCCAUCCUCUGGGCGGUGCCCGUCCAUCUGCUGAGAUCAACUCCCACUGCAGGGCUGUGCUGGUGUCUGGGCCGGGCACUGGCCCCUCACCCCAGCCCUGAGGGUUCACGAGGACUCAGCCUUCCUGGACUGGGUCGCACCUUCUCUUCCUGACCUCAGCUGCCUGCCUCCAGCUCCAUGGGCUUUUGAAGACAAGGGACAAGAGAUUGCUGACUUCUGGAAGACCAGCUGUUGUUGGCGAGGGAAUCAGGCAGACCCUCUUCCUUUUUCUUGUCGAGGAUCCAGCCUGAGGGAACCUCCUUCAGCCUCUCUGGCAGGUUGUCCUGCCUCCUGGGUCCCACUGUCAAGAAGAGACGGGUUUGCUUUUGACUCUGACUUCACGCAGCUCAUAUGGUGCCUUCCACAGCAAGGAUUCCUCAGCUCCUCUGGGUCCUUCUCCCCGUCCCCGUGGUCACGGCCACCCUGCCGUCCAGGCAGUUUCCUUAGCAGCUUCCUGGGCCCCCGGCUGUAUGAAUUCCCUCCAGUGGGCUCUGAAGCCCUUGAUCUUUCUUUUCUCAGCAUUUAUCAUGGAGGGUGGAAGUGAACCAUCUGCCAACAGUCCUCUGCUCAGGCACAGCACGGGGCCAGGCUGGGCGUGUGAUGGUCACGGGCCUGUGUAGUGUCCCUGAAUAGGUAGCAAAUAAAAGAGUGUUCAUUCAAGGUGUGCUGAAUGAACGAAUACAUGAAAAAACGCUUGGGGGUGGGGAGUGAAUGGAUUUCAAAUUCUCAGGCUGCACUUUCCAAAUCCGACACAGUCACAUUCAGCCGCUUGUCAAGACUGUUUGACAGCCACCCCUUUCCCGCAUUCCCGGCCCCCUGAGCAGCCACGGCUGCUGUCACAUCUGCCUCUUGAUGUUGCUGGGCCUGGAGAGUUACCCAUGCACACUGAACAUCAAGGUCAGUAUUUUUAGACGCAAUUCUUUAAUUUUUGAAAAUGCUCCAAAGAGAUUUUAGUGAUGGGAACAUAUUUGACAAAUAUAAAUAAAUGUAAGAGCUAUAGAAAUAAACUUCCC
RNAcentral lists this long non-coding RNA (1271 nucleotides) under Homo sapiens (human). RNAcentral describes it as "HSALNT0406675". The record is from RNAcentral. Lineage: Eukaryota; Metazoa; Chordata; Mammalia; Primates; Hominidae.